Fukomys damarensis (Damara mole-rat) is the source of this 296-nucleotide unclassified non-coding RNA. Its record names the gene 7SK. It matches the Rfam family "7SK RNA". From Rfam's summary of the family: 7SK was discovered as an abundant small nuclear RNA in the mid-70s but a possible function has only recently been suggested. Two independent studies have found that 7SK RNA binds the CDK9/cyclin T complex (known as elongation factor P-TEFb). Lineage: Eukaryota; Metazoa; Chordata; Mammalia; Rodentia; Bathyergidae. The record is from Ensembl.
GGAUGUGAGGGCGAUCUGGCUGCAACAUCUGUCACCCCACUGAUCACCAGGGUUGAUUCAGCUGAUCUGGCUGGCUAGGCGGGUGUCCCCUUCCUCCCUCACCCUCCAUGUGCGUCUCUCCUGAAGCUGCAUACCUGGCGAAGAGGACGACCACCCCCGAUAGAGGAGGACCGUUUCCUCUGUCAAGGGUAUAGGAGUAGCUGUGCUCCCGUUAAAACUUCCAAACAAGCUCUCAAGGCCCUUACAUAAGGCCUUACAUAUAACUUCGUUAUAAAUUACUUAUAACACAAAGAUUG